UUUCUUCUCUCAUACAUGUUUUCUUCUAUUGCUAUUCCAGGGCUCUGUAUGACACAUCUGAUGUUCUUUCAACAAUUUAGUUAACUUCAUUUUGCAAGUAACUGGGGGGAGCUUGCAGCAGUACAAUAAAAGAACUGAAAAACCCUGCUUUAAUUCUCUCCUCUUCCUCAAUCCUGACAGCUCAUGCACACCAUUGUUUGAGAGAAGAAAAAUUAUAUAUAUAAAGUUUCUUCUAAAAUUGCUUACACACACACACACGAUAUACUUGUUACUGGAUAAUUUGUAUAAACAGAAUUUUAUUUCAUUUCCUAGUGAUUUUAAAUAUCAUCUUCUUAUAAGUAGGUCUUCCUUCCCCAUUAAUCUAGGUUUCUCCUGUAAGAUAUUUUGCCCAUUGCCAUUUUAAACCCUUGUGACAAUUAAUCACAGGAGUCUGAGAAGUCUUCUGAGCCAUCCUCUGCCACUAAGCAAGGUGGCAGCUGGGCCAUCCCAGAUGCCUGGUGUGUGAUUUAAAAUUGUUUCUGUAAGUUCUCCAAUACUCCUCCCACCAAGAGGGAGAGUCUAUUUCCCCAUCCUCUGUACGUAGUGGGGCUUUGUGACUGCCUUGAUGAACACAAUGAAGCAAAGGUGAUACCACAUGCCUUCCCAGGGCAGAAAAGAUCAUGCAGUUUCUGCAGGUUUCUCUUGGAGGCUUUUGGCUCCCAUGUAGAAAUGCCAGCUCCCUUGAGGAGGCCCCAUGGAGAGACCUCAUGGUGAGAGACGGGAGCACCUGAGCAGCUGUCCCAGCCCCAGCCAGGCACUAGACACGAGAGUAAACAAUCCUCCAAUAUGACCCCGGCCCUGGGCACUAUUUGAUGGAAAGCACACAAGAGACUCCAAGUGAGAGCCACCUAGCUGAGCCCAGUUGACCUUAAGAUUUGUGAGCAAAAUAAAUUAUUUUAACUGCUUUAUGCCACUGUUUUUGUUCCUUGAGUUUUUUUUUUAAUCCAUAGAUAACUGAAACCCUUAGGAAUUUAUCUUCUGCAUCUGAUAUCUCAACAACAAAAGGAAAGAGUAUUUACAGCAUACCAAAUGUGGCCAUCAAGUCUGUUUUCUACAUGGGCAAUAACAUACAACCAUAGCUUUUCUAAUUUCAAGAUUAUUGCUCUUCAAUUGGAAGGGAUGCUAGGACUCUUGGUAUCUAACUUGUUCACUUUACAGAUGAGAAGGCUGAGGCCCAACAAAGUGAAAUGGCUUAUCCUGGCCACACAGAUACAUAGGGUUAGGGACAAGGAGGGACCCAGGCCAACUCAUUGCCCAGCUAAUCCAACUGAUGUUUCAAACUCAGUGUUCUUUUUAUAUUCACUGUGACUUCAGUAUUCUAAUGUGCUUCAUCCUCUGAACUUCAAUGAUUUCUUUUAUUUUAAAGAUCAAAUAUAAACUCCUAAUCACUUGGAACAUGGUUUCCCUUAAUCAGAAAUAAAUACGCAUCAUUGACUUCAGGGUGAGCUGGGUGACUAAUUUUAAGAGGCAACCCAUGCCUGUGGCCUUGCUUCUUUAGGAAACCAAGGAGUUUGGGGUGCAACUCUUUGCUGUUUUCCUUCCUACAGGCUGCCACAUUUCAAAUGUUCCCUCUUACCAAGUUCUGCUGGAGACACGUCUCGUAUCACAGGGCUGCAGGACGGAAGGUUCAGCUAUUAUCAUUAAUUGCUUCAAGCAAGCACAUAUCCCACAAGCCAGAGGCAAGAGAAGGGUGAGCUGGAAGCCGCUUGCUGCAGAUCUGCUCUGGACACCCUCUCCUGUAGUUGCCCCCACUGUGCCAUAGGUGCUGCCAGCUGCAAACUCCUUUAGUAGUAAUGCUUGAUUACUUCUGCUUCUGGUGAGCUCAGCACCUGAUCAAAAGGCUCCUGGCUUCAGCAGUCCUCGGAGAAGAAAAAAGGAUGACCUUGCAGAGUCAGGCUUUCCAGGGCCGUUCCAUUCUGGUCUGACCUCCACUCUAGGCACUAGUUCAAACCCUGCUUCUGAGAUGAACCCAAGAAAAUAAGAUCAGGAUUUUGCAUUGAGCUGACACAAUGGACGCUGCCCCUGCUGUCCGUCACCUGGCUUCCUCCCCCAACCCCCCGACAACGAGGCUCUCCUUCCAUAGCCACUGGAGUGUUGGCAGCUGAGGGUACAUGGCUGAGCUUGCCUCCAGGAAUGGCCCUGGGAUGAAGAGAGCUGCCUUGCUCAAGGUUACACCCCCUUCCUGGGAAACCUGUAUCCAAGGACUGGUUUGUGUGGGGUUAAAAGUACUGCAGGUGACUUAAAAGAGCUUGCUUGACUCAGUUUGGGAGGACUGUGAAGGGCCAUCCCAGCUUCAGAGUUCCCCAUAGAACUCCUUGGCUAAGGCCUUGGUGUGACUGCAACUUCUCCCCCUGCCUAACCCUGCCUUCCUUACUCUCCUAAAGGUGUUGAUUUUGGGAGCAAUUCUGGGACCAAAACCUCCUAUAUGCAAAUUUCCAGUUCUAGUCUGCUUCCUGGGAACCAGGUCUGCAGCAGAUGGUAUGCAAUCAAUGCUUAUGGUGAGAGGAUGGUUAUUCCUUUUUGUCUUACUCUCCUGGAUUCCUUCCAUCUCAUUCAGCACCCCUUCAAAGAUUCACCCCCUUUACCCUAGGCUUCCUUGAUGUACCCCUUCCUAGUUCUGGUUGCCCUAAUCAUAAAUGCCACGCUAACAGAUGGUAUGCAAGGCUUUUAUUCUUGCCAUUGUGUAUUUUCUCACAUCUUUCCAUUAGCCUGGAAACUCCUUAUGAAUAGGCAAUUUCAAAUUUAAUUUUAAAAUAUUCCUUCUCACCCAGUCAUAUAUAGUGAUGGUUGGUGGCACUUAAUCCUACUGGCUAAACACGCUUGACAAAUUCCUUAUUGCUGCCCCACCUUCCUCUCUUACUAUUUAAUUCAGUCAGCACACACUGGCUGUCCUGUCUGAGCUAGAAACUGUGCUAUGGGGACACACAAAGAAAUGUUCUCUCCCUACCAUCCAGGGACUGGUAAAGGGGGUGAGCCCAGGCUGGACUGCCAAGGUUCAAACCUCCCUCUCCCACUCAGUGAUCCGGAGCAAGUUAUUUAAGUUCUCCAAGCCUUAGUUUCCUUAUCUUUAAAAUGGGAAUAAUAAGAGUAUUAUUAUUAUAAUCCUAUUAUCAUCCACCUCAUAGGAUUUAUUAUUUAUUAAUUUUUUUAUUGUGAGGAUUAAAGGAGGUACACUGUAAGCAUUAUUUAAGUCUGCAUUGUCCACUAUAGUAGCCACUAGCCACAUGCAGCUACUGAGCACUCUAAAUGUAGUUACAUGCUGUGAGUAUAAAAUGCAUACUGAAUUUCCUCCGCCACUUUUAGAAAUUUGUAUAUAUUCAUGGGGUACAAGUACAAUUUACUAUUAAAUACAUUGAUACAUUACAUCGUGGUAAAGUCAGGGCCUUCAGCAUAUCCACCAAUGAAGUAAUGCGCAUGGUACCCACUAAGCAACCUUCCAUCAUCCAACCCCCUCUCACUCCCCAACCCCUGCAAAUCUCCAUCAUCCAUCAUUCCAUACUCUUUGUCCAUGUAUACCUAGUAUUUGGCUCCCACUUGUGAGAACGUGUUAUUUGUCGUUCUGUGUCUGAGUUGUUUCACUUAAGAUAAUGGCCUCUAGUUCCAUCCAUGUUGCUGCAAAAGACAUG
Microcebus murinus (gray mouse lemur) is the source of this 3665-nucleotide non-coding RNA. The record is from RefSeq and is a predicted model, not a curated record. NCBI's taxonomy places the organism in Eukaryota, Metazoa, Chordata, Mammalia, Primates, Cheirogaleidae.